AUCGUCUUAAGCAGCAGCGGUGCGGCAUCAAAACUUCAUUGAAUCUUGAGAUGCCUCGGAAGCUGUGCGAAAGUUUGGCAGGAAAUCGAAACGAAACGGUGCUAAAAGGUGAAUCAGCUGCUGAUCAACAGCUCGGAUUGGUUAGCAUCCCUGUUGAGCACGAACAUCCAAAGAACGUACUGGAUCAGUUUUGUGACAUUAUUAUUUAUAAGGAUCAAUUUAUGCUCGGGCACAUCGCACGAAGGAAAUGAGAACCGUUUUAGGAAUACAGCCAAGAAAAAAGUAUGCGGCAAUAACCAUCUUAAACUUCGCCGAUAAUGGAAUCGACUAAGAAAGAAAGAUCACGAACGCAUCCAGAGACAUUCGACAUCUCAUAAAUUUGAAACGCCAUCGAUUUAGUGAUUGUCCCCAGGGGCAGCCGCUGUUGAUUUCGCCUCUUGUAUCCCUGGAAGAAUACAUUCACAUUCAUUGUUACUUAAUAGGACGAUAGGACCCUCCGUUUUAAUAACGAUGGGAUGCGAUCCGGUUUCGACAAAAGAAAAAAAUGUUUACAUUCAAAAUCUCUUGACGUAUAUAUUAUAUGUAAAUAUUAAAAAUUGAUGUAAUAAAGUAUCAGUUCAUG
Molecule: long non-coding RNA, 622 nt
Organism: Armigeres subalbatus
Lineage: Eukaryota; Metazoa; Arthropoda; Insecta; Diptera; Culicidae
Exons: 3
Source: RefSeq, a predicted model, not a curated record